This 23-nucleotide non-coding RNA is filed under the name Arabidopsis thaliana (thale cress). The record is from RNAcentral. Lineage: Eukaryota; Viridiplantae; Streptophyta; Magnoliopsida; Brassicales; Brassicaceae.
CUAAGAACAAGCACAACCGACUA